CUGUGAAGGUAGAGGUUAAAAGAUAGCGUAAGGGAAAUAUAUGAUAUUACCUUACUAUUAGUGUUGUCCAAAACUGGUGCCAGAAGACUCGGUAAGGCCAGAAACACAAACGUUAAUCUUAAUGAACAGGCGUAAAGGGUUCGUAGGCAGCUUUAUUAACUAUAAUUAUAAGUUCUGCUAAUUGAUAUUUUUAGAAUUAUUUUAUUAAUAUUAAGACUUAUUUAUAUUUAAAAAGAUAUAAUCAAAAUUGGGUUUAGCCGAUAAAUGCUUAGAGUAAGGUUAUAUCUUUAGAUACUAGGUAGAGUACUUAUGGCGAAAGCUAUUUUUCCAUUAAUGAUUGAAGCUGAGGGAACGAAGGUUUGAACAGAAAAUAGGAUUUGAUACCCAGAUAUCUCUUACUGUCAACUAUGAAUAGAAGUUAUUGGUGAAAUCACCAGUUUCGAAGCUAACGUAUAACUAUUCCGCCUUGAGAGUACGGUCGCAAGACUGAAACCAAAAAAAUUAGUCGGUCUCGAAGAAAACGGAUGAAGCAU
RNAcentral lists this ribosomal RNA (533 nucleotides) under Cylindrobasidium ipidophilum. Its description in RNAcentral is "SSU rRNA". It matches the Rfam family "Bacterial small subunit ribosomal RNA", at positions 430 to 940 of the family's 1533-position model. The record is from RNAcentral. Lineage: Eukaryota; Fungi; Basidiomycota; Agaricomycetes; Agaricales; Physalacriaceae.